RNAcentral lists this small RNA (87 nucleotides) under Lactobacillus kefiranofaciens. Its description in RNAcentral is "SAM-III sequence". It matches the Rfam family "SAM-III riboswitch aptamer (SMK box)". The record is from RNAcentral. Lineage: Bacteria; Bacillati; Bacillota; Bacilli; Lactobacillales; Lactobacillaceae.
UAUCGGUUCAAGUCCUGAGAGGAUUCACUAAGAAGUGAAGAUGCCUUGUAACCGAAUAGCCUGUGUCUAUAUAGGGGGACUAUUAUG